This 353-nucleotide unclassified non-coding RNA is filed under the name soil metagenome. RNAcentral's name for it is "partial contains 5.8S ribosomal RNA, internal transcribed spacer 2, and large subunit ribosomal RNA". The stretch from base 1 to 121 matches the Rfam family "5.8S ribosomal RNA", at positions 35 to 154 of the family's 154-position model. The record is from RNAcentral.
GAUGAAGAACGUAGCGAAAUGCGAUAAGUAAUGCGAAUUGCAGAAUUUCCGUGAGUCAUCGAAUCUUUGAACGCACAUUGCGCCCAUUGGUAUUCCGAUGGGCAUGCCUGUUCGAGCGUCAUUAUCUUCCCUCAAACCUCGCGUUUGGUGUUGGGCCGUGCUGGUUCCUGCGUGACCAACUGGCCUCAAAGACAAUGACGGCGUCCGUGGGACCCUCGAUGCAACGAGCUUCUCAGGAGCACGCGUCGAGUUUCAAGGACCUUCCGGGCCGGUCUAUCCUCAAGUUAUUACAAGGUUGACCUCGGAUCAGGUAGGGAUACCCGCUGAACUUAAGCAUAUCAAUAAGCGGAGGA